Molecule: ribosomal RNA, 648 nt
Filed under: Bacillus sp. FJAT-4428
Lineage: Bacteria; Bacillati; Bacillota; Bacilli; Caryophanales; Bacillaceae
Description: bacterial SSU rRNA
Rfam family: Bacterial small subunit ribosomal RNA
Source: RNAcentral
CAGUCGAGCGGACAGAUGGGAGCUUGCUCCCUGAUGUUAGCGGCGGACGGGUGAGUAACACGUGGGUAACCUGCCUGUAAGACUGGGAUAACUCCGGGAAACCGGGGCUAAUACCGGAUGCUUGUUUGAACCGCAUGGUUCAAACAUAAAAGGUGGCUUCGGCUACCACUUACAGAUGGACCCGCGGCGCAUUAGCUAGUUGGUGAGGUAACGGCUCACCAAGGCAACGAUGCGUAGCCGACCUGAGAGGGUGAUCGGCCACACUGGGACUGAGACACGGCCCAGACUCCUACGGGAGGCAGCAGUAGGGAAUCUUCCGCAAUGGACGAAAGUCUGACGGAGCAACGCCGCGUGAGUGAUGAAGGUUUUCGGAUCGUAAAGCUCUGUUGUUAGGGAAGAACAAGUACCGUUCGAAUAGGGCGGUACCUUGACGGUACCUAACCAGAAAGCCACGGCUAACUACGUGCCAGCAGCCGCGGUAAUACGUAGGUGGCAAGCGUUGUCCGGAAUUAUUGGGCGUAAAGGGCUCGCAGGCGGUUCCUUAAGUCUGAUGUGAAAGCCCCCGGCUCAACCGGGGAGGGUCAUUGGAAACUGGGGAACUUGAGUGCAGAAGAGGAGAGUGGAAUUCCACGUGUAGCGGUGAAAUGC